This 101-nucleotide long non-coding RNA is filed under the name Polistes fuscatus (common paper wasp). RNAcentral describes it as "uncharacterized LOC122519512". Lineage: Eukaryota; Metazoa; Arthropoda; Insecta; Hymenoptera; Vespidae. The record is from RNAcentral.
GGUUCGUUCGUUGGUUCGUUCGUUCGUUCGUUGAGCAGUACGUGACGCUUCCGCCGGUGAGGGGCUCUUGGCAAAACACGCGAAAGAGAGAGAGAGAGAGA